RNA transcript from Octodon degus (degu), 588 nucleotides. It is a transcript of the gene named zinc finger CCHC-type and RNA-binding motif-containing protein 1 pseudogene, with no coding region annotated. The record is from RefSeq and is a predicted model, not a curated record. Lineage: Eukaryota; Metazoa; Chordata; Mammalia; Rodentia; Octodontidae. The transcript has a single exon.
UGAAGCCAGCCACGAGACGCGCAGCGGCGGCCUCGGCCGCCCAGGAACCCCCGCUCGGCGCCGGCCCCACCCGGGCCGACCCGCCCGAAGAAAUGAGUGGUGGCCUGACUCCAAGUAAGAGUACAGUGUACGUGUCCAACUUGCCCUUCUCCCUGACAAACAACGACUUAUACUGGAUAUUUUCCAAGUAUGGCAAAGUUGUGAAGGUUACUAUAAUGAAAGACAAAGACACGAGGAAGAGUAAAGGAGUGGCGUUUAUAUUGUUUUUGGAUAAAGACUCUGCACAAAGCUGCACCAGAGCCAUAAAUAACAAACAGUUAUUUGGUAGAGUGAUAAAGGCAAGCAUUGCUAUUGACAAUGGAAGAGCAGCUGAAUUCAUCCGAAGGCGAAACUACUUUGAUAAAUCUAAAUGUUACGAAUGUGGGCAAGCCAAGAUGGAAGAACAAAACAAAUGGAAAGUCAGUGCUGGGGGCCCUUCGACUUCCAAGGAUUCACGGCGCCCAAGGAUAAAGAAGAGCGCGUACUUCAGUGACGAGGAAGAGCUUAGCGAUUAGCAUCGUACACUGGAGAUGUCAGAAAAACGAAAAC